GAUGAACGCUGGCGGCGUGCCUAAUACAUGCAAGUCGAGCGAACGGACUAGAAGCUUGCUUCUCUGAUGUUAGCGGCGGACGGGUGAGUAACACGUGGAUAACCUACCUAUAAGACUGGGAUAACUUCGGGAAACCGUAGCUAAUACCGGAUAAUAUUUUGAACCGCAUGGUUCAACAGUGAAAGACGGUCUUGCUGUCACUUAUAGAUGGAUCCGCGCUGCAUUAGCUAGUUGGUAAGGUAACGGCUUACCAAGGCAACGAUGCAUAGCCGACCUGAGAGGGUGAUCGGCCACACUGGAACUGAGACACGGUCCAGACUCCUACGGGAGGCAGCAGUAGGGAAUCUUCCGCAAUGGGCGAAAGCCUGACGGAGCAACGCCGCGUGAGGGAUGAAGGUCUUCGGAUCGUAAAACUCUGUUAUUAGGGAAGAACAUAUGUGUAAGUAACUGUGCACAUCUUGACGGUACCUAAUCAGAAAGCCACGGCUAACUACGUG
This 497-nucleotide ribosomal RNA is filed under the name uncultured bacterium. RNAcentral describes it as "partial 16S ribosomal RNA". It matches the Rfam family "Bacterial small subunit ribosomal RNA", at positions 28 to 507 of the family's 1533-position model. The record is from RNAcentral.